UGGGGAAUUUUGGACAAUGGGCGAAAGCCUGAUCCAGCAAUGCCGCGUGUGUGAAGAAGGCCUUCGGGUUGUAAAGCACUUUUGUCCGGAAAGAAAUCCUUGGCUCUAAUACAGUCGGGGGAUGACGGUACCGGAAGAAUAAGCACCGGCUAACUACGUGCCAGCAGCCGCGGUAAUACGUAGGGUGCAAGCGUUAAUCGGAAUUACUGGGCGUAAAGCGUGCGCAGGCGGUUUGCUAAGACCGAUGUGAAAUCCCCGGGCUCAACCUGGGAACUGCAUUGGUGACUGGCAGGCUAGAGUAUGGCAGAGGGGGGUAGAAUUCCACGUGUAGCAGUGAAAUGCGUAGAGAUGUGGAGGAAUACCGAUGGCGAAGGCAGCCCCCUGGGCCAAUACUGACGCUCAUGCACGAAAGCGUGGGGGAGCAAAACAGGAUUAGAU
Molecule: ribosomal RNA, 438 nt
Filed under: uncultured bacterium
Lineage: Bacteria
Description: partial 16S ribosomal RNA
Rfam family: Bacterial small subunit ribosomal RNA
Source: RNAcentral